This 495-nucleotide ribosomal RNA is filed under the name uncultured bacterium. RNAcentral describes it as "partial 16S ribosomal RNA". It matches the Rfam family "Bacterial small subunit ribosomal RNA", at positions 28 to 523 of the family's 1533-position model. The record is from RNAcentral.
GAUGAACGCUAGCGGGAGGCCUAACACAUGCAAGCCGAGCGGUAUUGUUUCUUCGGAAAUGAGAGAGCGGCGUACGGGUGCGUAACACGUGUGCAACCUGCCUUUAUCUGGGGGAUAGCCUUUCGAAAGGAAGAUUAAUACUCCAUAAUAUAUUGAACGGCAUCGUUUAAUAUUGAAAGCUCCGGCGGAUAGAGAUGGGCACGCGCAAGAUUAGCUAGUUGGUGAGGUAACGGCUCACCAAGGCGAUGAUCUUUAGGGGGCCUGAGAGGGUGAUCCCCCACACUGGUACUGAGACACGGACCAGACUCCUACGGGAGGCAGCAGUGAGGAAUAUUGGUCAAUGGGUGCAAGCCUGAACCAGCCAUCCCGCGUGAAGGACGACCGCCCUAUGGGUUGUAAACUUCUUUUGUAUAGGGAUAAACCUACCCUCGUGAGGGUAGCUGAAGGUACUAUACGAAUAAGCACCGGCUAACUCCGCGCCAGCCGCCGCAGUAA